RNAcentral lists this ribosomal RNA (253 nucleotides) under uncultured bacterium. RNAcentral's name for it is "partial 16S ribosomal RNA". It matches the Rfam family "Bacterial small subunit ribosomal RNA", at positions 524 to 776 of the family's 1533-position model. The record is from RNAcentral.
UACGUAGGGUGCAGGCGUUACUCGGAAUUACUGGGCGUAAAGCGUGCGCAGGCGGUUAUGUAAGACAGGUGUGAAAUCCCCGGGCUUAACCUGGGAACUGCAUUUGUGACUGCAUAGCUAGAGUACGGUAGAGGGGGAUGGAAUUCCGCGUGUAGCAGUGAAAUGCGUAGAUAUGCGGAGGAACACCGAUGGCGAAGGCAAUCCCCUGGACCUGUACUGACGCUCAUGCACGAAAGCGUGGGGAGCAAACAGG